RNAcentral lists this ribosomal RNA (253 nucleotides) under uncultured bacterium. RNAcentral's name for it is "partial 16S ribosomal RNA". It matches the Rfam family "Bacterial small subunit ribosomal RNA", at positions 524 to 776 of the family's 1533-position model. The record is from RNAcentral.
UACAGAGGUGGCAAGCGUUGUUCGGAAUUACUGGGCGUAAAGGGCGCGUAGGCGGUUCGUUAAGUCCUGUGUGAAAUCCCCCGGCUCAACUGGGGAACUGCACAGGAAACUAGCGGGCUUGAGUUCGGGAGAGGGAAGCGGAAUUCCGGGUGUAGCGGUGAAAUGCGCAGAUAUCAGGAGGAACACCUGUGGCGAAGGCGGCCAGCUGGGCCGACCCUGACGCUGAGGCGCGAAGGCGUGGGGAGCGAACGGG